Molecule: ribosomal RNA, 468 nt
Filed under: uncultured bacterium
Lineage: Bacteria
Description: partial 16S ribosomal RNA
Rfam family: Bacterial small subunit ribosomal RNA
Source: RNAcentral
GACGAACGCUGGCGGCGUGCUUAACACAUGCAAGUCGAACGGAAAGGCCCUGCUUUUGUGGGGUGCUCGAGUGGCGAACGGGUGAGUAACACGUGAGUAACCUGCCCUUGACUUUGGGAUAACUUCAGGAAACUGGGGCUAAUACCGGAUAGGAGCUCCUGCUGCAUGGUGGGGGUUGGAAAGUUUCGGCGGUUGGGGAUGGACUCGCGGCUUAUCAGCUUGUUGGUGGGGUAGUGGAUUACCAAGGCUUUGACGGGUAGCCGGCCUGAGAGGGUGACCGGCCACAUUGGGACUGAGAUACGGCCCAGACUCCUACGGGAGGCAGCAGUGGGGAAUAUUGCACAAUGGGCGGAAGCCUGAUGCAGCAACGCCGCGUGCGGGAUGACGGCCUUCGGGUUGUAAACCGCUUUCGCCUGUGACGAAGCGUGAGUGACGGUAAUGGGUAAAGAAGCACCGGCUAACUACGUG